CCUGCACCGGGUCUAGUGGGCUCCACGUCUGCUCCUGGUCCCUUGAUCCUUCCCAGGCCCAAGAAAACGGAUGAGGUUUGGGGACUGGCUCACUCACUGCCUGGCUGUCAAAGAGGACCGUGACAUCUGUGCCAUUUACCAAUGGCUGAGUGGCCCCAUGGGAAAAGACCUGACCUGGAAACUAGGUGUGCCAAAGAACUUGAAAACCAACAGGUUCUGUGACAUGAAUAGUUUCAUUAAAAGUAUCCUCCAUAUUUACCUCAUGAGAGGCUUCCAGGAAGUUUCUCUUUCCUCCUUCAUCUGCUGCCUGGGAUGCAGAUGUGUUGACUGGAGCUCAGCAGUCAACUUGAACCAUGAGGCACACCCAAGGAGGGUGCUGCAAUGAGCUGCAAAGACCCCCAAGGAUCCAUGGAGCUGCCCCACUGCCUGAACUGCUGUCCCCUGGACUUCUAUCCUGUGAGAGGGGAAUCAUGGAGAAGGCUAAGUGCAACACCUUUAAGGAGCCAAUCACAGAAAGAGAGACCCCCUCUACAGAGUAUAAGAACCCCAGCAUCUCAUGGCUGAUGGCACAAGAUUGCCCUGAAGGGUCCAUUCUGAUUCUCUGCUUUUCCAGUGCUUGCAUGUUGAAUCCGGAUUUGGCUGUAGCAGGAGCUCUUUAGAGGACCUGGUCCAGAGAGAGGCCUGGAAGCCCCUGGGGAGAGAGGAAAUCACACCUACAUUGUGACUGAUGAACUAGUGCAGACACCUUCCUGGAGAUAUGCUUCUCAGUCAAGGUGAAGGAGCCAUCUCUAAGUGUCCAAUAUGGAUCUGUUGUGGAAUGAUACUUUCAUAAAACACAAUUAAAAUGGAAAUUU
Non-coding RNA from Sus scrofa (pig), 854 nucleotides. NCBI's taxonomy places the organism in Eukaryota, Metazoa, Chordata, Mammalia, Artiodactyla, Suidae. The record is from RefSeq and is a predicted model, not a curated record.